AACGAACGCUGGCGGCAUGCCUAACACAUGCCAGUCGAACGAGACCUUCGGGUCUAGUGGCGCACGGGUGCGUAACGCGUGGGAACCUGCCCUUAGGUUCGGAAUAACUCCCCGAAAGGGGUGCUAAUACCGGAUAAUGUCUUCGGACCAAAGAUUUAUCGCCUUUGGAUGGGCCCGCGUUGGAUUAGCUAGUUGGUAGGGUAAAAGCCUACCAAGGCGACGAUCCAUAGCUGGUCUGAGAGAUGAUCAGCCACACUGGGACUGAGACACGGCCCAGACUCCUACGGGAGGCAGCAGUGGGGAAUAUUGGACAAUGGGCGAAAGCCUGAUCCAGCAAUGCCGCGUGAGUGAUGAAGGCCUUAGGGUUGUAAAGCUCUUUUACCCGGGAUGAUAAUGACAGUACCGGGAGAAUAAGCUCCGGCUAACUCCGUG
Molecule: ribosomal RNA, 432 nt
Filed under: uncultured bacterium
Lineage: Bacteria
Description: partial 16S ribosomal RNA
Rfam family: Bacterial small subunit ribosomal RNA
Source: RNAcentral